RNAcentral lists this long non-coding RNA (867 nucleotides) under Junco hyemalis (dark-eyed junco). Its description in RNAcentral is "lncRNA (ENSJHYG00000017598.1)". The record is from RNAcentral. Lineage: Eukaryota; Metazoa; Chordata; Aves; Passeriformes; Passerellidae.
AUGUACAGGGCAGUGACAGCAAAGGGCUGUGCUCGGUGCAGACGGGUCUGCUCGAAGAGAAGGGGCUGCGUGGGGCUGCCGGUGCCGCGGACGGGGAGCGUCUUGGUGAAGUCGGACGAACCUGGAGCAGGAAUCAGGACCAAGUGCUGCCCAAGACAGGAGGGAGGAAGGCAGACAGAGAGGGAAGGAGACAUUAGAGAGGUAACUCAGAACAGACUGCGACUCUACGGAAGAAAACAGGCUGCAACGACAACAGUCAGAGGUGAGGCCAGCGCAGGGUCCCACGGCACCCUGGGACCCUCCCUGCCUGACCCAACACUGCCCCAGCCCCAGCUGCUGGCCCAGAGCGCUCCCCUCCCUCACCCCAAAGCACACAGGGGCCUUUGUCACACAGAGCUGUGCUGGGAGCAGCUGUGGCCCAAAGAGGAGAAAGGAGGGGAAGGACAGAGACACGAGGGUGAGGGAGGAGGAGAGAGAAGGGGGCCAAGUCACCUCUGUGUAAGCCCCCCUUGCCCACCGCCCACUCUGCCCGCUGUUGGUGCAGGAGCGUUCCAGACCCGUUCCAUCCCAUACCAGGGCUGUGGGACACGGCUGCACAGAGCCCCGGCCCCGGGGCAGCCCCGGCCCCAACGGCGCGGCCGUUACCUGGCAGGAACACAUCGACCGGGGCGUCGCUCUCGGAGCGCGUCAGGCUCCGGCUCUCGCAGCCGCCGUCCUGCAGCACGUCCUCCACCGAGGGCGGGCGGCUCCCUGGAACCAGCCCAGAGCGCGGCCCCUCAGCCCCCAGCACGGAUCAGGGUGCUCGCGGCCAGGGGGGGUCCAGGUCUUGAUGUGAGGAAGCUCCCCAGGCGCCCCCAGCCCCGCUGA